Molecule: ribosomal RNA, 495 nt
Filed under: uncultured bacterium
Lineage: Bacteria
Description: partial 16S ribosomal RNA
Rfam family: Bacterial small subunit ribosomal RNA
Source: RNAcentral
AUGAACGCUGGCGGCGUGCCUAAUACAUGCAAGUCGAGCGAACAGACGAGGAGCUUGCUCCUCUGACGUUAGCGGCGGACGGGUGAGUAACACGUGGAUAACCUACCUAUAAGACUGGGAUAACUUCGGGAAACCGGAGCUAAUACCGGAUAAUAUAUUGAACCGCAUGGUUCAAUAGUGAAAGACGGUUUUGCUGUCACUUAUAGAUGGAUCCGCGCCGCAUUAGCUAGUUGGUAAGGUAACGGCUUACCAAGGCGACGAUGCGUAGCCGACCUGAGAGGGUGAUCGGCCACACUGGAACUGAGACACGGUCCAGACUCCUACGGGAGGCAGCAGUAGGGAAUCUUCCGCAAUGGGCGAAAGCCUGACGGAGCAACGCCGCGUGAGUGAUGAAGGUCUUCGGAUCGUAAAACUCUGUUAUUAGGGAAGAACAUAUGUGUAAGUAACUAUGCACGUCUUGACGGUACCUAAUCAGAAAGCCACGGCUAACUACGU